GUGGGGAAUAUUGCACAAUGGGCGCAAGCCUGAUGCAGCCAUGCCGCGUGUGUGAAGAAGGCCUUCGGGUUGUAAAGCACUUUCAGCCGGGAGGAAGGCGGUGAGGUUAAUAACCUCACCGAUUGACGUUACCCGCAGAAGAAGCACCGGCUAACUCCGUGCCAGCAGCCGCGGUAAUACGGAGGGUGCAAGCGUUAAUCGGAAUUACUGGGCGUAAAGCGCACGCAGGCGGUCUGUCAAGUCGGAUGUGAAAUCCCCGGGCUCAACCUGGGAACUGCAUUCGAAACUGGCAGGCUAGAGUCUUGUAGAGGGGGGUAGAAUUCCAGGUGUAGCGGUGAAAUGCGUAGAGAUCUGGAGGAAUACCGGUGGCGAAGGCGGCCCCCUGGACAAAGACUGACGCUCAGGUGCGAAAGCGUGGGGAGCAAACAGGAUUAGAUACCCGAGUAGUCC
RNAcentral lists this ribosomal RNA (450 nucleotides) under uncultured bacterium. RNAcentral's name for it is "partial 16S ribosomal RNA". It matches the Rfam family "Bacterial small subunit ribosomal RNA", at positions 354 to 796 of the family's 1533-position model. The record is from RNAcentral.